CCUUCGGGCGCCGACGAGUGGCGGACGGGUGCGUAACGCGUAGAAAUCUGCCUCAGAGUGGGGGACAACUUGGGGAAACCCAAGCUAAUACCGCAUACGCCCUACGGGGGAAAGCGGGGGACCUUCGGGCCUCGCGCUCUGAGAUGAGCCUGCGUGGGAUUAGCUAGUUGGUAGGGUAAAGGCCUACCAAGGCGACGAUCCCUAGCUGGUCUGAGAGGACGAUCAGCCACACUGGGACUGAGACACGGCCCAGACUCCUACGGGAGGCAGCAGUGGGGAAUAUUGGACAAUGGGCGCAAGCCUGAUCCAGCAAUACCGCGUGUGUGAAGAAGGCCUGAGGGUUGUAAAGCACUUUUAAUCGGGAGGAAUAGCUCAGGGUCAAUACCCCUGAGUCUGACAUUACCGAUAGAAAAAGCACCGGCUAACUCCGUGCCAGCAGCCGCGGUAAUACGGAGGGUGCGAGCGUUAAUCGGAAUUACUGGGCGUAAAGCGUGCGUAGGCGGCUGUUUAAGUCAGAUGUGAAAGCCCCGGGCUUAACCUGGGAACGGCAUUUGAUACUGGACAGCUAGAGUUUGGGAGAGGAGAGUGGAAUUUCCGGUGUAGCGGUGAAAUGCGUAGAGAUCGGAAGGAACACCAGUGGCGAAGGCGACUCUCUGGCCCAAAACUGACGCUGAGGUACGAAAGCGUGGGUAGCAAACAGGAUAAGAUACCCUGGUAGUCCACGCCGUAAACGAUGUCAACUAGCCGUUGGUCUUAUUCGUAAGAUUCGUGGCGCAGCUAACGCAUUAAGUUGACCGCCUGGGGAGUACGGCCGCAAGGUUAAAACUCAAAUGAAUUGACGGGGGCCCGCACAAGCGGUGGAGCAUGUGGUUUAAUUCGAUGCAACGCGAAGAACCUUACCUACCCUUGACAUGCAUAGAAUC
Molecule: ribosomal RNA, 923 nt
Filed under: uncultured methanotrophic bacterium
Lineage: Bacteria
Description: bacterial SSU rRNA
Rfam family: Bacterial small subunit ribosomal RNA
Source: RNAcentral